CAAGUGUGUCACAAGUGUGUCAGCUCAGAGGAGGGGCCAGCCAGAGGAUAGUUGGGAGGCAGAGCUGCCCCUAAGUGAGCCAUGGAGAGGUUCUGCUCCCUCAUCCAUCUCUCCCUCUUCUGGGCAGGAGCCAUGUCAGCCAUUGAGUUGGUGCCUGAACACCAAACAGUGACUGUGUCAUUGGGGGACCCUGCUACCCUCAGGUGCUCCAUGAAAGGAGAAGCGAUCACUAACUAUUACAUCAGCUGGUACAGGAAGACCCAAGGUAACACAAUGACUUUCAUAUACCGAGAAAAGAACAUCUAUGGCCCCGGUUUCAAGGAUGGUUUCCAAGGUGAAAUUGAUCCUGAAAAGGACCAGGCUGUACUUGAGAUUCUUGCAGCAUCGGAGAGAGAUGAAGGGUCUUACUACUGUGCCAGUGACUACCACCCUGCUACCCCCACACAACUCUCCUUUGGAAAUGGAACUCAACUCAUCGUGGAACCAAAAAUUCAACCUCCUACCAAACCAUCCGUUUUCGUCAUGAAAAAUGGAAAAAAUGUUGCUUGUCUGGUGAAGGACUUCUACCCCAAGGAUAUAAGUAUAAAUCUCAAGUCAUCCAAGAAGAUAACAGAGUUUGAUCCUGCUAUUGUCGUCUCUCCCAGUGGGAAGUACAAUGCUGUCAAGCUUGGUCAAUAUGAAGAUUCAAAUUCAGUGACAUGUUCAGUUCAACACAACAAUACCAUUGUGCACUCCACUGACUUUGAAUUGAGGGCAAAUUCUUCAGAUAACCUAACAUCAAUGCAAACUGAAAACACAAAGCAAUCUUCAAAGAGCUGCCACGAACCCAAAGUUCAUGCCGAGAAGGUGAACAUGAUGUCCCUCACAGUGCUGGGGCUACGAAUGCUGUUGGCAAAGAGUGUCGCCAUCAAUUUUCUCUUGACUGCCAAGUUAUUUUUCUUCUGAGGCUGACUGGCAUGAGGAAGCCACACUCCUAAAGAAACAAAAGGCUUACCAAAAUGCGUCUCCUCAGCUUCUGACUUCUUGGUGAUUCAAGUUGACCUGUCACAGUCUUGUUAAAAUGGCUGCUAGCCAAACCAAUUUUUCUUCUAAGGCCACAAACCCAGCUUAUCCUCCAGUUUGGUGGGAAGUUAAAAGUCCUAGGGAAGGGGGGUUUAUGUCCUAACUGCUUUAUAUGCUGUUUUGUAAAGGGAUGGAAGGAUAUAAAAAGAUAUAGGACUCGUUUUUUCACUCCUACAACCGAUACACUUUGAAAAUGAUGUUUCGUUCCAUUUGACUUUUAUCUUUGAAGUAGAAAGUAAGCGCCAAUAGGUUCACAGCUCCAUGCCUCAUGGGGAAAAUCGGCCUGGGAGAAGAAGAGCAGAUGCCCUUUUAUUUAAACACGGAAGGCUCUGCUCAACAGAGCACUAGAUUUGCUACUAGAUUUGCCUCUUCCUCCUGUCCUCAUGGCUUGUCCCACCCUCUGUGUUCACUUCAGGAGCCACACUAGAGAUUCUACAAGGCAUGGAGGAGGACAAAAUUUCUGCACUUUCUGCAUCUCAUAGUACUUUACAAAUGAGAUUACAUUUGAAUUCACAAAUAUUUUAUGAGUAGGCAAUGGGGUUCCCAAAAUCUCAUCUAAAUAUUCUCCAAUCUAUUAGCAAUGAUCAGAGGAAAGACGCUGCUUUCUGUUAAUUUAUUUAACAUGCAUAAAUCAGAUCCCCCUGAGUUCCAGGCACUGUACUGAGAGUACAAAGAAGACACAAGCCCAGCUUUCAGACAAGUCACUGUGCAAGUGUUUUUGGAGGGAAGAAUAGAAAGGAGACCCCUAUCUUUCCCUAUAAGAACAGCAUUUGUACUGUCUUUUGCCUGCCAAUCUGUGUUUGAAACAAUUGGACACUGAUUCUCUGACCUGGGACUUUGGUAUUGACGGUCUUCCACCUUUCUUCUCAGCCCCUGCCUCGGUUGCAUUUAUUAAACUGCAUUGUGUGCA
Molecule: non-coding RNA, 1972 nt
Organism: Cebus imitator (Panamanian white-faced capuchin)
Lineage: Eukaryota; Metazoa; Chordata; Mammalia; Primates; Cebidae
Source: the annotation of a RefSeq genome assembly